UACGUAGGGCGCAAGCGUUGUCCGGAAUCAUUGGGCGUAAAGCGCGUGUAGGCGGCCGAGUAAGUCUGCUGUGAAAGUCCAGGGCUCAACCCUGGGAUGCCGCAGAUACUGCUUGGCUAGAGUACGGGAGGGGCGAGUGGAAUUCCUGGUGUAGCGGUGGAAUGCGCAGAUAUCAGGAGGAACACCUAUGGCGAAGGCAGCUCGCUGGAACGUUACUGACACUGAGACGCGAAAGCGUGGGGAGCAAACAGG
Molecule: ribosomal RNA, 252 nt
Filed under: uncultured bacterium
Lineage: Bacteria
Description: partial 16S ribosomal RNA
Rfam family: Bacterial small subunit ribosomal RNA
Source: RNAcentral